Molecule: RNA transcript, 4311 nt
Organism: Ricinus communis (castor bean)
Lineage: Eukaryota; Viridiplantae; Streptophyta; Magnoliopsida; Malpighiales; Euphorbiaceae
Gene name: transcription termination factor MTEF1, chloroplastic
Exons: 3
Source: RefSeq, a predicted model, not a curated record
CGCUAUCUGUUUGUUGAUGCUGAUGCUGAUGCUGCUGCUGCUUCUCUCUCUUUCAUUUGGAUAUGGUAAGAAAAGAAAGAAAGCAAAAUGCACAAAGCAACUCUAACUUACUUCCCUCCUUUGUCUCUCCUGCCUCCUCCAAGACUCCCCCCAAAACCCCUAAAAUCCGUUCUGAAAACCACAGACAGCGGCCUUCUCUUCCACGACAAACUCCACUACCUCAAAUCCCUCAAAAUCAACACCCAAAAAGCCCUAACCCAAAACCCUGAUCUCCGAUCCACCCCUCUCUCCACCCUCCGCUCCGUCGAGCACUCCCUCACCUCAAUGGGUCUUCGCCGCGCCGAAAUCGGCCGAAUUCUCGAUAUGCACCCAAUACUUCUCACCUCAGACCCACAUAUUUCUCUCUACCCAAUCUUUGAUUUCCUUAUCCAUGAAGUCAAAAUCCCCUUUCCUGAUAUCUCUAAAUCAAUUUCUCGCUGUCCUAGAUUGUUAGUUUCUAGUGUAGAUAAUCAAUUAAGACCUGCACUUUAUUUUCUUCGUAAUUAUCUUGGCUUCGUAGGUCCCUUUGAUAUUAAUUCUCAAACAACAAUGUUGUUAGUAUAUAAUGUUGAGACUACUUUAAUGGGUAAGAUUGAGUUUUUGUUGGGUUUAGGAUUUAGGUUUUAUGAUGUUAAAAAUAUGGUUGUUAGAUCACCUGGGAUUUUGACUUUUAGUGUUGAGAAUAAUUUGGUGCCUAAAGCUGAUUACUUCUUAAAGGACAUGAAUGGGGACCUGGAGGAAUUGAAGAGGUUCCCGCAGUAUUUUUCGUUUAGUUUGGAGCGUAAGAUUAAGCCUAGACAUAGAAUGUUGGCUGACUGUGGAAUUCAGCUUCCUUUGUGGAAAAUAUUGAAGGUCAGUGAUGGUGAAUUCAAUGCUAGAUUGCUUGAAAUGCGGUUAGCAAUGGCUGGGGAGGAGACUUAGAUGCACCAUUCGAUAUUAUCUUGCAAGUCCGUGUUUUACUCAUUUUCCUCAUGUCAUAUUAUUGAUGCACCUCUUACUGUUUGGCUAAUCACUUUUGAAGGUAAAGGUUUCAUAUAAGAUUGUGGCUUUUAUUUGGUCGGUGGUCCUUUCUUGGGAUAAAAAUGGACACUUGAGAGCGAGGUCUGACUCUGCGGAUACCUAAAGAGACUUCAUCUCUUGAGGUUUGUUAGGUCUUACAGCAUUUGGGCCUUGUACUCAUCUUGCAUUGCAGAGUUUCUUGAUCUAUAUGAGAAUUAACUUUUGGGUAUUCUGGGAAAGCAUUAAGUUUCUCAUUUACUGAUUUUAAGAACAUAAGAGAUUUGGAUGUUGAAAAGAGGCACAAUGGUUGUUCUGCGGACCCAGGGGCAGAACUAGAAAAUUUAGUAAGGGGGCAAUAAAAAAAUUCAACUAAACUCAUGAGCACAUUAAUUAGUAUUAUGCUAUAUUCAGUUUUCAUUAAUAUUGAGAAAUGAUUCACAUGACACCCUUCACACAGUUAAAAAAAAAAUGCAUUUAAUCAAAUUAAAUUCAUAAAAUAUAGAAGUUAUUUUGCAUUUUAAUGAGAGAUUACUAUGAAAGAAUUGAAAACCCUAACUUCCAAAUCUUCAGUUUCUUUAAGGAAAAUUAAACUUUAGUUAAAGAAAUUUAGUGCUACAAAAGAGAGACAGAGGAAAAUAGAUAUUAAAUUUGAACAGAUGAUGGAAUCUGAAAUAUAGAGCUGCAAUGGGUCUUGUUUUCCUUUUUGGUUUGUGUCUGUAUAACUUUUCUUUCUUUUCAAUGACCAGGUACAAACUACAGAGCUGUUUUAUGUUUUAUUGGCCUAAUACUUAGAUGGCCUUUCUCAUGUUUAAUUUUUAUAAAGUUGGGCUUGAGAAUUAUACUGUACUUCUUCUGCAAAGUUUGAGUAGGCCCAUUUUGAAUAAGCAAACUAACCUUUACUCUCUCUCUCUCUCUUUCUCUCUCUCUUAAGCAGUAUGGAGCCGUUCUUAUUUUCUGUGUUUACAAAUGGUAUGGGGUCUUUAGCUAGGGAGGGAUGUGAAGGUCAAGUUUCAUUUUUAAGAUUGGUUUUUGGGUUGUAUUUAUGAAAAGGGAUGCAUAAUAUAGAUAGCUAACCUGGUUAGGAGGAUUUAUAUCAAAAUUUUCAGGGGAUUCCUAGUUUACAUAAUUCUUAUUAGUCCUUUUUAUUUGAAAAUCUUGUAUAUAGAAAUGCUUAUACUGACUCUUGUGGAUGGUUGAUGCUGCUGCCUUUUUUAAUGGAUAUUUGCGGUUGUGCUUAUUCACUAAAUUUCAACUUAUUUAACAUAAAAACUUUAAAGGUCCUAAGGAUCUUCUAAAAUAUUUUGAAGAUUGUUGGUGAAACUUGCUUGUUUACUUUUCUAAAGUGUUGGUACAUGUUAGUUGCCUACUGUCUGGUGCUCAUGGACAAUGCUUAUGCACCUACAGUGUUUAGUAUCUCCUUGCAUGGAGUUGUUUAUUUUCUGCUUUCUCCAGGUUAAUUUCUCUUUGUAGUUUCUAGGACUCUUUCACACAUGUGCACAAAUUAUCCAGACUGUUGAUCUAAACUCUUAUGUAGUUCUUUUGGGAAGGAAGUUAAUGGUUUGCACGUCCUCCUUCACACCCAUAGGCUGUAUCAUACAUUGUUCCUUUCACAAUUGUUCUAUGUUAUGUAAUCCAAGAUACUAAAAGUUGAGCACCCAGUCAUGGUUGAAGUGCUCAAAGUUAAAUUUUCAGCUCUCCUCUUGGUUAUCCAUAUGUUAUCAUAAUAUUGCUCUUUUAGCAAAAUAUUAUGGUGAUUGAGCAUAAUCUUUAUCAUAUGAGCUUCCUUUCCUUCAAUGUGAAAGUAGGGGAGAGGGUGGCAGUUGGAGAGCAAAAGCCUUUUUCCCCCCCUUUUUUGUAACAUUUCUUUUUAUUUUGGUGUGUUGCUUCUUCCUGAAUAAUUUGCAUUGAUAAUUUUCCAUCUGUAAAAUGGCAUAACCAGUGAAUACUUUAAUAAAAGUGCAUGGUUUGGCGGGAGUUGUAACCUUGAGAUUGAUAUAUAUGUACUCGAAUUUCUUUUUUCCUUUAGUGGGAUAGAAUGUGUACAAAGGCGUUCAGUUUGUUUCACUUGCUUAACAUUUUAGUAUGUUAGAGAGAUUAGAAUGUCACUGAGAGGCAUUUGGAUGUCAUGUUCGUGAUUGUUUGUGAUUGCUGAUGCUAAGCUAGUUCUUGGGAAAUGUUCUUUAUUAUGCAUUUUAUAAUGACGCCCUAGAUGUGGGGUAAUUUAGUAAAUGCAAUGAUUUAAGAUUUUUUUGCACAAAUUACACAGUAUAAAGAAUCUGUCAAACCUGCUCCGCUGGUUUCUUAUGAUCAUGAAGGGUGUGGCAUGAAUAAAUCACAUUUAAGAAAAUAUAAUAAUUACUGGGUUUUUCUGAAUAAGCAUGAACUCUUAAGGAACUUGAAUAAAUAAUCUAUUAGUUGCACAUUUUUGUAGAUCUCUAUAUUUAUACUGGAGUACUUUCCUACUUUUGGAACAAAGACAGCCAAGAAAUAUUGCAAUGAUUAACUUGCUGGAACUUGUGGGCAGUGGGAAGGUGAAGCGAUUGGAUGCGGAUUAUGGUCAAUGGGCUAGGGUCAUGUUGAAUGUAAACCAUUCUGCUAAGGGGUGAUAAUCAGAAUAAAGCAAAUGAGGAUCAUUCACCAGUUGGCAGGCCUCUCUUUCCCUUCCUCCAGUGUUAAUACUACAUGGGGCCGUACUGGAGAAACUGUCAAUUCUGCGGGUCAGUUUGAGGCGGAACUGUGAAUUCUUCUCUUUCCUUGGUGAUUAGAUGGUUUGUGGAGGAGUGCAGGUCUGGUGGCAUGGGAAAAAUCAACAAAAUACUGAUUGCUGAUAGUCAUACUCUUGAUGCUUUGCUUUAAACCUUAGAAGCUUUCAGGGGUGAUGACAAUGACCUGACACGGGGGAGGAGCUUAGAGCAAGCAACUUUGUUGCGCCAUGGCAAUAAAGUGCUGAUGUUGGAGGGAUUGUCAUGUGUCAUUUAGCUACGAUGUCUGGAUGUAUAUUCAUAUUUUCAUAUGGAAGUAAGAAGUUUGACUGGGAGGGGAUGAUAACACACAGAUUACGCAGUCGGCGUCCAUUGUAAGACCGAGGAGGAUUAAAUCAACAACGAUUAGAGAGCGUGAGGUUUAGUUUCUUCCGUAGUGCCAGUGGACAGCAGCAGUGAAUUAGUUGAACUUUUCUCCUGCAUUAGAAAGCAGACCGUUACUGCCUUAAUGGCAAAUCAUUUCGGUUGUACUUAAAUUUAACUUGGGAAAAAAAUAAAUAAAUUUUGGAAA